GUGUCAGCAGCCGCGGUAAUACGGAGGGUGCAAGCGUUAUCCGGAUUCACUGGGUUUAAAGGGUGCGUAGGUGGGCAGGUAAGUCAGUGGUGAAAUCCCCGAGCUUAACUUGGGAACUGCCGUUGAUACUAUCUGUCUUGAAUAUCGUGGAGGUUAGCGGAAUAUGUCAUGUAGCGGUGAAAUGCAUAGAGAUGACAUAGAACACCAAUUGCGAAGGCAGCUGGCUACACGGUAAUUGACACUGAGGCACGAAAGCGUGGGGAGCAAACAGGAUUAGAAACCCCUGUAGUCC
RNAcentral lists this ribosomal RNA (292 nucleotides) under uncultured bacterium. Its description in RNAcentral is "partial 16S ribosomal RNA". It matches the Rfam family "Bacterial small subunit ribosomal RNA", at positions 505 to 796 of the family's 1533-position model. The record is from RNAcentral.